Molecule: ribosomal RNA, 253 nt
Filed under: uncultured bacterium
Lineage: Bacteria
Description: partial 16S ribosomal RNA
Rfam family: Bacterial small subunit ribosomal RNA
Source: RNAcentral
UACGUAGGGCGCAAGCGUUGUCCGGAAUUAUUGGGCGUAAAGAGCUCGUAGGUGGUUUGUCGCGUCUGUCGUGAAAGCCCGGGGCUUAACUCCGGGUCUGCGGUGGAUACGGGCAGACUAGAGGUAUGCAGGGGAGAACGGAAUUCCUGGUGUAGCGGUGAAAUGCGCAGAUAUCAGGAGGAACACCGGUGGCGAAGGCGGUUCUCUGGGCAUUACCUGACGCUGAGGAGCGAAAGUGUGGGGAGCGAACAGG